AAAGCAUUUUUAUACAUGCGUAGCAACAAUCUUCCAAACAACACAAAUUUUUCACAUAAAAAAUGGCAUCAAAUGGUGUCAAAGAAUCAAAUAUAUAGCAAAGAUACAAAUUUUGGAGGUCAGAUAUUGCAUAUCAUCUCGUCAGCCAUUGAUUCAGCUUAAACAUGAUCUCUCUUGCUUUCCUUUCUGUGUUUUCUUGGGAUUCAAUAUUGCCAUAUAUUUGAUCCUUUGACCUCACCAGAAACAUCAACACUAAGCAUAUCUUAAAUUUUCUUGACCCUGUCAUUUUUCUGUUCUUUCUUCCUCGACUGAGAAGUAAGAUGGUUCCUAAGCCUGGCUUUACAAUGAAUUUGAAUUCUGCUCAAGAACAACAAUGAGAUGAAGAAGAAUGAAACAACGAACUGAUCAUAGAAUUGUACCAUUAUAUAGAGAGAAAUAAUAAAAAAGGGAAAGAAAGACCAUAAUUCAAGAACACACAGUACUACAUUUAUUUACAUAGGACAUAAGUAUAUGUAAAGAUACAUCUGCAUACAACUAGUGAAGAAGUUGAGUUAGACAGAGCUUUUGAUGGCUUUGCUGUAACCAGUUUGAUCAUCAUAAUAUUUGGACCACAGCAUAACCCCUCCAUACUUAUCAGAACCCUUGAUUGCUGGAAGCACUCGAGAGGUGAGAUCAGCUACCGGGAUGAAACCACUACCAGCUGCCUCCGGAGCAGCGGGUAAUCCCAAGAAAAUCUUGUUAGCAGGGAUAUCUGAAGUCCAUUGCUUCCAUGCAUUUUCAAGAUUGGUAAUACUUUCAGAGGAGUAUUGGCAGGGAGGAUUGUUAUAGAAUUGAACCCAAACAUAGUCAAAAAGACCCGUCUUAAGGGCGUUUCCUACCCAAGCAUCAGGAAAUGGGCACUGGGGAGCUGCAGUUAAGUAUACUUUUUUACCUUUCUUGCUAUAUGCUGAAAGGAACCUUGCCAGAUCAUCCCAGUGUUGGUUUGUUCCUCCUUCAAUGUCAAAAUCAAUCCCAUCUAGAACAGCUGGUCCAAGUGGGCGAGAAGAAGAUUGACCACCUAAGAAGUUGUUCCAAAGGUAAGUGGCAACCUGCCUGGCAUCCUCAGUAGAUGCAAGAUAGUAACUACCAGCUCCUCCACCUAUAGAAAGAAUCACCUUAAUUCCUUUGGCUUGACAUGAUUUAAUAUCAGAACUCAGUCCCGUGCAACCAUUGCUGUAUGGAUCACAAUGACCAGCGAGAUUGAUCAUAGGAGUCUGACCAUUGCCAAAACUGGCCAGGAAAGCUAUAUUCACAAAGUCAUAGUUUCCUGUGGCACAAGUCUCCGCCAAGGUCCCCUCAUUUCCAUUCUGACCCCAGUAGAUUGCUAUUCCCCCAGCUUCAGAACCCACAAGUAGUACUAGAAUCACUGAUAAGAGGAAUGCUAGUGAGAUUGCUGAACUCGAUGCCAUUCUGAAUGCAAUGUACUUCCCAGGAUUUGCUGCUUGGUGCUUGAAACUGUUCUCAGGAGCAUACAUUUAUAGGGGAAUUAAAUCGAACCAACUAUGGGCUCAUUUGUUUUGUUUCUUUUUUGGAAGACUGCGUGGAUUAUCAGUCACUUUGCUGCAGCUGAUAUGGAUGAAUGGAAGUGACUGGACGCAGACGGCUUAUCUUGAACACAUAUUGAGCAAGUACUCACAUCUUCAAUGCCCAAUUUUGAGUUGUUCUUGUUUAUCAUUACUAGAAAAUGACAAACACUACUAGUAUAAAAUCAUAUUUCCAGGAUUUUUUAUAGGUUCUAAUUUAUCACAUCUUUUACUGAAAACUUUAACCCUUGGGUUGUUGUAUACUGAUUUGUUGUCUAAUAUUUUUUUUUUUCGUCCUUUUGCUUUACAAAUAAGGGGGAAGAGACUCUGAAUUUGAAACUUAGUGUGUAUGUAUAUGUGUGUGUAUAGAGGGUAGAGCAACAAAAUAAACUAUCAGAGACAAAAUCUAUAAUUUUCUCAAUAAGAUCACUAUUGAAAAUUCACAAUUAGACUUAUGUGUCUUUAAUUGAUUAUAAUAGUAAUAAGUUGGAGGAGGUAAAUCCUUUAAAAUAAAAUUUGAAGAAAGGAAAAGGGGGAAUUUUGGAUUUAAAUUGCAUGAUAUAUAUAUAAAAAAUUUUUGCUAACUUAUUU
This 2153-nucleotide unclassified non-coding RNA is filed under the name Hevea brasiliensis (rubber tree). The record is from RNAcentral. Lineage: Eukaryota; Viridiplantae; Streptophyta; Magnoliopsida; Malpighiales; Euphorbiaceae.